Oryctolagus cuniculus (rabbit) is the source of this 862-nucleotide non-coding RNA. NCBI's taxonomy places the organism in Eukaryota, Metazoa, Chordata, Mammalia, Lagomorpha, Leporidae. The record is from RefSeq and is a predicted model, not a curated record.
GGCUUAAGAAAAUAUCCAGACAAAAUGUAUUAUUUCACAAAGGUGCCCUAGAGAAAUCUCCGUGCUUAGUUAUCACCAAUAUUUUAAUUCAAACAAUCUACAUCACAUAUGGCCAUUAUGACAGUGGAAAUGUUCUAGCAGAGCAUUCCAACCACUCUUCUAUCCCCCCGGAGACAGGAAAUGCUUAGGUGUCUGCAGUUCUUUGAGGACAAAUGGAAAGAGCACUGCCUGCCUUUCUGAGGGGGCGCUGGCUCAUUUCGGGUGGGUUAUUUCCCUGGCAGCCGUUUGUACUUCCAAUACGCUGAAGCAUCUCCAUCCGAUUCUGAUGUCUGUCCUUAUCUCUCAGGUGGUCAGGAGGGUUUCUACAAUCUUUUAUUAAGAUAAGGAGAUACACUGAAAACAUCUUGCAGCUGCUAAAUGACUCAGCCUGAAACAUUUUGAAAUAUGUGUGUAUGUGUGUGUGUAUGUGUGUGUGUAUACACAGUUUCUUCAUCCAUUCAUCUGUACAUGGACACUUAUUUUGUUUCCACAUCUUGGCUAUUGUGGAUAUGCUACAAUGAACAUGGGGUGCAGAUAUCAUUAAGAAGUUAUUCCAUAUACUUUGGUUAUAUACUCAGAAAGAGAUUGCUGAGUCAUAUAAGGGAUCUUAAUGCAAAUACGCUUUAAAGGCAUUUCAUUAAAUUCUAAUGAUAUGAUCGACAUCUAUACAACAAUAACAAAACUAAAGUCAGACUUCAAGGUACUAUGAUGUGACUUUACAUGAAGUUUCUCUACAACCCAAAAGAAAAAAAAAUGAACUGCAUACUAUUAUUAUUUUUUGACUGUUAAAUAAACAAAUAAAAUAUUCCACAAAACUAGAAAA